RNAcentral lists this ribosomal RNA (259 nucleotides) under uncultured bacterium. RNAcentral's name for it is "partial 16S ribosomal RNA". It matches the Rfam family "Bacterial small subunit ribosomal RNA", at positions 793 to 1050 of the family's 1533-position model. The record is from RNAcentral.
GUCCACGCCGUAAACGAUGAGUGCUAGGUGUUGCGGGUAUUGACCCCUGCAGUGCCGAAGUUAACACAUUAAGCACUCCGCCUGGGGAGUACGGUCGCAAGAUUAAAACUCAAAGGAAUUGACGGGGGCCCGCACAAGCGGUGGAGCAUGUGGUUUAAUUCGAUGCAACGCGAAGAACCUUACCAUCCCUUGACAUCCAGAGAAUUCUCUAGGGAUAGAUUAGUGCCUUCGGGAACUCUGAGACAGGUGCUGCAUGGCU